UACGAAGGGGGCUAGCGUUGUUCGGAAUUACUGGGCGUAAAGCGCACGUAGGCGGAUUGUUAAGUCAGAGGUGAAAUCCCGGAGCUCAACUUCGGAACUGCCUUUGAUACUGGCAAUCUAGAGUCCGGAAGAGGUUAGUGGAAUUCCCAGUGUAGAGGUGAAAUUCGUAGAUAUUGGGAAGAACACCAGUGGCGAAGGCGGCUAACUGGUCCGGUACUGACGCUGAGGUGCUAAAGCGUGGGGAGCAAACAGG
This 253-nucleotide ribosomal RNA is filed under the name uncultured bacterium. RNAcentral's name for it is "partial 16S ribosomal RNA". It matches the Rfam family "Bacterial small subunit ribosomal RNA", at positions 524 to 776 of the family's 1533-position model. The record is from RNAcentral.